RNAcentral lists this ribosomal RNA (428 nucleotides) under uncultured bacterium. Its description in RNAcentral is "partial 16S ribosomal RNA". It matches the Rfam family "Bacterial small subunit ribosomal RNA", at positions 354 to 796 of the family's 1533-position model. The record is from RNAcentral.
GUAGGGAAUAUUGCGCAAUGGACGAAAGUCUGACGCAGCGACGCCGCGUGAGUGAUGAAGGCCUUAGGGUCGUAAAGCUCUGUUGAAUGGGAAGAAAAAAAUGACGGUACCAUUCGAGGAAGGACCGGCUAACUUCGUGCCAGCAGCCGCGGUAAUACGAGGGGUCCUAGCGUUGUUCGGAAUCAUUGGGCGUAAAGGGUGUGUAGGUGGGCAUGUAAGUCAGGUGUGAAAGCCCCGGGCUCAACCCGGGAAGUGCACUUGAUACUGCGUGGCUUGAGUACCGAAGAGGGUAGUGGAAUUCCAGGUGUAGUGGUGAAAUACGUAGAUAUCUGGAGGAACACCGGUGGCGAAGGCGGCUACCUGGUCGAGUACUGACACUGAGACACGAAAGCAUGGGGAUCAAACAGGAUUAGAAACCCCGGUAGUCC